CAGGAAGGAGGAGGCAGCUAGAGAGGCCUCCACUGUUCUCUGCAGCAGAAGACCCCUUGCUGCCAGUGCCAAGCCUGCCCAAACCUAUAUAAGAAACCAACACAAUAAAGGCUACGAAGAACACAAGCAGCCCUACCAGACAGGAAAUCUUGGCCUUGAGGUGUGCAGGUUUGAAUCCUUGAGCAACCCACCAAUGGUUUCCAUCUGCUCAUGAGCAGC
Molecule: long non-coding RNA, 219 nt
Organism: Hemicordylus capensis (graceful crag lizard)
Lineage: Eukaryota; Metazoa; Chordata; Lepidosauria; Squamata; Cordylidae
Exons: 3
Source: RefSeq, a predicted model, not a curated record